RNAcentral lists this ribosomal RNA (477 nucleotides) under uncultured bacterium. RNAcentral's name for it is "partial 16S ribosomal RNA". It matches the Rfam family "Bacterial small subunit ribosomal RNA", at positions 30 to 507 of the family's 1533-position model. The record is from RNAcentral.
AUUGAACGCUGGCGGCAUGCCUUACACAUGCAAGUCGAACGGUAACAGGUUAAGCUGACGAGUGGCGAACGGGUGAGUAAUGUAUCGGAACGUGCCCAGUCGUGGGGGAUAACUGCUCGAAAGAGCAGCUAAUACCGCAUACGACCUGAGGGUGAAAGCGGGGGAUCGCAAGACCUCGCGCGAUUGGAGCGGCCGAUAUCAGAUUAGGUAGUUGGUGAGGUAAAGGCUCACCAAGCCGACGAUCUGUAGCUGGUCUGAGAGGACGACCAGCCACACUGGGACUGACACACGGCCCAGACUCCUACGGGAGGCAGCAGUGGGGAAUUUUGGACAAUGGGCGCAAGCCUGAUCCAGCCAUGCCGCGUGCGGGAAGAAGGCCUUCGGGUUGUAAACCGCUUUUGUCAGGGAAGAAAAGGUUCUGGCUAAUACCUGGGACUCAUGACGGUACCUGAAGAAUAAGCACCGGCUAACUACGUG